RNAcentral lists this ribosomal RNA (250 nucleotides) under uncultured bacterium. RNAcentral describes it as "partial 16S ribosomal RNA". It matches the Rfam family "Bacterial small subunit ribosomal RNA", at positions 524 to 773 of the family's 1533-position model. The record is from RNAcentral.
UACGGAGGGUGCGAGCGUUGUCCGGAAUCACUGGGCGUAAAGGGCGCGUAGGCGGUCUGCUAAGCGUGCGGUGAAAGCCUGGGGCUCAACCCCAGGUCUGCCGUGCGAACUGGUGGACUUGAGCACUGUAGAGGCAGGUGGAAUUUCGGGUGUAGCGGUGGAAUGCGUAGAGAUCCGAAAGAACACCGGUGGCGAAGGCGGCCUGCUGGGCAGUAGCUGACGCUGAGGCGCGACAGCGUGGGGAGCAAAC